This 490-nucleotide ribosomal RNA is filed under the name uncultured bacterium. RNAcentral's name for it is "partial 16S ribosomal RNA". It matches the Rfam family "Bacterial small subunit ribosomal RNA", at positions 28 to 507 of the family's 1533-position model. The record is from RNAcentral.
GAUGAACGCUAGCUACAGGCUUAACACAUGCAAGUCGCGGGGCAGCAUGGGGGUUGCUUGCAAUCCCCGAUGGCGACCGGCGCACGGGUGAGUAACGCGUAUCCAACCUGCCCUUCACCACGGGAUAACCCGGCGAAAGUCGGACUAAUACCGUAUGUUGUCCAUUGACGGCAUCCGAUUUGGACGAAAGGCUUGGCGGUGAGGGAUGGGGAUGCGUCCGAUUAGCCAGACGGCGGGGUAACGGCCCACCGUGGCUACGAUCGGUAGAGGUUCUGAGAGGAAGGUCCCCCACACUGGAACUGAGACACGGUCCAGACUCCUACGGGAGGCAGCAGUGAGGAAUAUUGGUCAAUGGGCGUAAGCCUGAACCAGCCAAGUAGCGUGCAGGAUGACGGCCCUAUGGGUUGUAAACUGCUUUUAUGCGGGGAUAAAGUGGCCCACGUGUGGGCUUUUGCAGGUACCGCAUGAAUAAGGACCGGCUAAUUCCGUG